RNAcentral lists this ribosomal RNA (349 nucleotides) under uncultured bacterium. RNAcentral describes it as "partial 16S ribosomal RNA". It matches the Rfam family "Bacterial small subunit ribosomal RNA", at positions 338 to 701 of the family's 1533-position model. The record is from RNAcentral.
CCUACGGGAGGCAGCAGUGGGGAAUAUUGGGCAAUGGGCGCAAGCCUGACCCAGCAACGCCGCGUGAAGGAAGAAGGCUUUCGGGUUGUAAACUUCUUUUCUCAGGGACGAAGAAAGUGACGGUACCGGAGGAAUAAGCCACGGCUAACUACGUGCCAGCAGCCGCGGUAAUACGUAGGUGGCAAGCGUUAUCCGGAUUUACUGGGUGUAAAGGGCGUGUAGGCGGGAAAGGAAGUCAGAUGUGAAAACCAGGGGCUCAACCUGUGGCCUGCAUUUGAAACUGUUUUUCUUGAGUACUGGAGUGGCAGCCGGACUUCCUCGUGUAGCGGUGACAUGCGUCGAUAUUAGG